Non-coding RNA from Paramuricea clavata, 73 nucleotides. Lineage: Eukaryota; Metazoa; Cnidaria; Anthozoa; Malacalcyonacea; Plexauridae. The record is from the annotation of a GenBank genome assembly.
GCCUCUGUGACUCAGUUGGUUCGAGCACUGCACCGGAAUGGCAGGGCCGCAGGUUCGAAAUCUGCCAGAGGGC